UUACGGCCACAUCACGCUGAAACACUAGUUCUCGUACGAUCACCUUAAGUUAAGCAACGUUGAGCCUGGUCAGUAGCUAGAUGGGUGACCGCUUGUGAAUAUCAGA
Molecule: non-coding RNA, 106 nt
Organism: Acanthosepion pharaonis
Lineage: Eukaryota; Metazoa; Mollusca; Cephalopoda; Sepiida; Sepiidae
Source: the annotation of a GenBank genome assembly